RNAcentral lists this ribosomal RNA (934 nucleotides) under Moraxella catarrhalis. Its description in RNAcentral is "bacterial LSU rRNA". It matches the Rfam family "Bacterial large subunit ribosomal RNA", at positions 1787 to 2723 of the family's 2925-position model. The record is from RNAcentral. Lineage: Bacteria; Pseudomonadati; Pseudomonadota; Gammaproteobacteria; Moraxellales; Moraxellaceae.
CAGGCUGCUGCAACUGUUUAUUAAAAACACAGCACUCUGCAAACACGAAAGUGGACGUAUAGGGUGUGAUGCCUGCCCGGUGCUGGAAGGUUAAUUGAUGGGGUUAGCGUAAGCGAAGCUCUUGAUCGAAGCCCCAGUAAACGGCGGCCGUAACUAUAACGGUCCUAAGGUAGCGAAAUUCCUUGUCGGGUAAGUUCCGACCUGCACGAAUGGCAUAAUGAUGGCAGCGCUGUCUCCAGCAGAGACUCAGUGAAAUCGAAAUCGCAGUGAAGAUGCUGUGUACCCGCGGCUAGACGGUAAGACCCCGUGAACCUUUACUACAGCUUUACAUUGAACUUUGACCUAACUUGUGUAGGAUAGGUGGGAGGCUUUGAAGCAGAUACGCCAGUAUUUGUGGAGCCAACCUUGAAAUACCACCCUGGUUAUGUUGGGGUUCUAACUUAGGAUUAACAAAUCCAAGGACAAUGUAUGGUGGGUAGUUUGACUGGGGCGGUCUCCUCCUAAAGAGUAACGGAGGAGUACGAAGGUGCGCUCAGAACGGUCGGAAAUCGUUCAAAGAGUAUAAAGGCAAAAGCGCGCUUAACUGCGAGACCCACAAGUCGAGCAGGUACGAAAGUAGGUCUUAGUGAUCCGGUGGUUCUGUAUGGAAGGGCCAUCGCUCAACGGAUAAAAGGUACUCUGGGGAUAACAGGCUGAUACCGCCCAAGAGUUCAUAUCGACGGCGGUGUUUGGCACCUCGAUGUCGGCUCAUCUCAUCCUGGGGCUGAAGCAGGUCCCAAGGGUAUGGCUGUUCGCCAUUUAAAGAGGUACGCGAGCUGGGUUUAGAACGUCGUGAGACAGUUCGGUCCCUAUCUACCGUGGGCGUUGGAAAUUUGAGAGGAUCUGCUCCUAGUACGAGAGGACCAGAGUGGACGAACCUCUGGUGUUUCGGUUG